ACUAACUGGAGGACCGAACCGACUAAUGUUGAAAAAUUAGCGGAUGACUUGUGGCUGGGGGUGAAAGGCCAAUCAAACCGGGAGAUAGCUGGUUCUCCCCGAAAGCUAUUUAGGUAGCGCCUCGUGAACUCAUCUUCGGGGGUAGAGCACUGUUUCGGCUAGGGGGUCAUCCCGACUUACCAACCCGAUGCAAACUACGAAUACCGAAGAAUGUUAUCACGGGAGACACACGGCGGGUGCUAACGUCCGUCGUGAAG
RNAcentral lists this ribosomal RNA (257 nucleotides) under Klebsiella variicola. RNAcentral's name for it is "partial 23S ribosomal RNA". It matches the Rfam family "Bacterial large subunit ribosomal RNA", at positions 761 to 1015 of the family's 2925-position model. The record is from RNAcentral. Lineage: Bacteria; Pseudomonadati; Pseudomonadota; Gammaproteobacteria; Enterobacterales; Enterobacteriaceae.